GAAAUGCGAUAAGUAAUGUGAAUUGCAGAAUUCAGUGAAUCAUCGAAUCUUUGAACGCACCUUGCGCCCUUUGGCUAUUCCGAAGGGCAUGCCUGUUUGAGUAUCAUGAACACCUCAACCCUCAUGGUUUACCAUGGUGGGCUUGGACUUUGGGGGUCUUGCUGGAUUGUAGUCAGCUCCCCUUAAAUGAAUCAGCUUGCCAGUGUCUGGUGGCAUCACAGGUGUGAUAAUUAUCUACGCUUGUGGUUUUACAUCAGGUAACCUUCAGAGAUGGGGGGUUCACUGGGGCUCACAAAAGGUCUCUCCUCAGUGAGGAUGACUCUUUGAAUGUUUGAUCUCAAAUCAGGUAGGACUACCCGCUGAACUUAAGCAUAUCAAUAAGCGGAGGAAAAGAAACUAACAAGGGAUUCCCCUAGU
RNAcentral lists this ribosomal RNA (417 nucleotides) under uncultured Thelephoraceae. RNAcentral's name for it is "eukaryotic LSU rRNA". The stretch from base 1 to 106 matches the Rfam family "5.8S ribosomal RNA", at positions 50 to 154 of the family's 154-position model. Lineage: Eukaryota; Fungi; Basidiomycota; Agaricomycetes; Thelephorales; Thelephoraceae. The record is from RNAcentral.